GCCAGACUCCUACGGGAGGCAGCAGUGGGGGAUAUUGCACAAUGGGGGGAACCCUGAUGCAGCGACGCCGCGUGGGUGAAGGAGCGUUUCGGCGCGUAAAGCCCUAUCGGCAGGGAAGAAGGAGGACGGUACCUGACUAAGAAGCCCCGGCUAACUACGUGCCAGCAGCCGCGGUAAUACGUAGGGGGCAAGCGUUAUCCGGAUUUACUGGGUGUAAAGGGGGCGCAGACGGCAGCGCAAGCCAGGAGUGAAAGCCCGGGGCCCAACCCCGGGACUGCUCUUGGAACUGCGCGGCUGGAGUGCAGGAGGGGCAGGCGGAAUUCCUGGUGUAGCGGUGAAAUGCGUAGAUAUUAGGAGGAACACCAGUGGCGAAGGCGGCUUACUGGACUGUAACUGACGUUGAGGCUCGAAAGCGUGGGGAGCAAACAGGAUUAGAUACCCCAGUAAG
This 448-nucleotide ribosomal RNA is filed under the name uncultured bacterium. Its description in RNAcentral is "partial 16S ribosomal RNA". It matches the Rfam family "Bacterial small subunit ribosomal RNA", at positions 330 to 793 of the family's 1533-position model. The record is from RNAcentral.